Ailuropoda melanoleuca (giant panda) is the source of this 100-nucleotide small nuclear RNA. The record is from Ensembl. NCBI's taxonomy places the organism in Eukaryota, Metazoa, Chordata, Mammalia, Carnivora, Ursidae.
GCGCUUGCUUCCGCAGCCCCGAAGCUGAAAUUGGAAUGACAGAGAUCAGCGCCCCCUGAGCAAGGACGACACGUAAAUGUGUGACACAUUCCACAUAUUU